AGGGUGACCUCUUCUUGGAAUGGCUCUGCACCACCCCCCAGAUCCCUCCGCUGCCCAGUUCUGAGCCCCAGGAGGCUGACCUCUGCAGAAUGUAUUACCCUGGUGCCCUGUCUGGUGGAUUUCUGGUUAAAUUCAGCCAACCUGCGAGACUGGUGGGAGAUUGGAGGGCAGGAAGAAAGAGAAAGAGUGGUUUAUAAAAUAAUGGUAUGUCUUUCAGUCAUUGACAUCCUAGAUUUGCGAAAUGUGACCAUAGGCCUUCCUUCACCCCCUACCUCCAUAUAAAAAAAGGCCCAUUUGAGACGUUCAGCUUUGAAGAGAAAAGGUUGUGUCCGGCAACUCCACCUCCAAUCAAUCAUUAGGACUUACUCCACACCCAGCACUGUUCUAGGAGCUGGCACUAGUGACCUAAUUCUUGAACUCAAUCAAUGUGCAGCUUCUUGGUCAGGUGCAAACAAUGCAAGAAGCUCAGGCGGAGGGGUGAGCUCUGGAGCAGGAACCUGGAGAGCAGGGUUCUAGGCUGAACUCUGCCCCAGGCAAGUCACUGUGCUUCUCAGGGCCUCAUCUGUAAAAUGAGGCAUUUAAACUAAACCUCUGAGGUCCCUUAUUACUUUUCUUCAUCCAUGGAAAUAAUUAACAAAAUAUAAUCAAAGUGAGGCAUUAAAGAAUGUAGCAGAGACAGUGCUUGUGUGCCUACCAAGUGGGUUCCUUUUCCUGCUGGCCAGGUAGCUCAGCCACAUGUCCUGGUGUCCCCAGUAGGUAAAUAGGGCCAGGUGACUGAUUCCUGGCGAAGGGAACAUGCUCAGAAACUUGGUGUGCUCCUCUCGGACCUGGCCCCUGAAACAUGCCGGUGAGAUCCUAGACUCUCCUUGCCCUUCCGUGGUGCCCUCAGAGGCCACAGACUGAAGAUGGCUCUGCCAUGAUGGAAAGUGCUUCAUUCCUGGGUCGUCUUCUGGGAAGAUGCUGCCCAACCUACGUGGACUGUGAUGUGAGCAAGAAUCACAUUACCAGCGUUUUAAGCUGCUCAGAUUUUGUUUUGUUUGUUUGAAUAAUUAGCCUACCCUGAAUAAACCAAAAAGCAAAAUAAGGGUUCAACAACAAUCCCUCAGACGUAGGAAAGAUCAGAGGAGAACACAUGGACCGAGGCCCUGCAGGCACAGACAAAGGAUAAGGGAGACAGUCCAGCUCUGGCAGGAGCACAAGGAUUCAGAAUUUGGAGAUUUGGAUGUGGUUUGUUCUGAGAGUUGGAGAUGAGUAUUUAGUGUAAUAACCCACCCGCACAUUCCUUCCCCACACACAUCCACCCCCAAAGAUCUCCAUCAUCCAAUAGUAUCACCAGGAAAUAUACAAAUAACUCUGAAUGGAUCCACCAAUGUGGCAACAAAACAUGCAUUACCCAUUACCGUAAAGGAGCUGAGGCGGAGGACAGCCUGAGUGCAUUGACCGUGCAGGUGCUGACAGUUAACACUCACCUGAGAUCAAUCUUCACUAAUAAAUCAGCCAUCCCAGACCAAGAAGAGGAGGCAAAGCAGGGCUUAGACGGGGUGGGUGAAAUCCCAUCUUGCCAGGGUUCUCCCAUGAAGGAGGCAGGACCUAAGACCCCCUCUGUGCUGUCAACAGGCCGCAUUAGCACCGGGGAGGAGAAGCCACAUCCACCAAGCACUGCUGGAGGCCCCACCCCCAAAGCUGGGUUCAUCCCAGCCUCUGAAUUCCUGCACCUUCUGGGAGGAAUGUCAGCCAUCUAAACAAGACUUUGCCAGCACUUUAUUGUAACUUCAGACCCAGAAACGAUGAGCAUGGUGUUUGUUGUGUUUUCUGCUGUGUC
This 1822-nucleotide long non-coding RNA is filed under the name Equus caballus (horse). RNAcentral describes it as "lncRNA (ENSECAG00000059037.1)". The record is from RNAcentral. Lineage: Eukaryota; Metazoa; Chordata; Mammalia; Perissodactyla; Equidae.